CGACCGCUGGCGGCGUGCUUAACACAUGCAAGUCGACCGGUAAGGCUCCAGCUUGCUGGGGUACACGAGUGGCGAACGGGUGAGUAACACGUGGGUGACCUGCCCUGCACUUCGGGAUAAGCCUGGGAAACUGGGUCUAAUACCGGAUAGGACCAUGGUGUGGAUACUGUGGUGGAAAGUUUUUUCGGUGUGGGAUGGGCCCGCGGCCUAUCAGCUUGUUGGUGGGGUAAUGGCCUACCAAGGCGGCGACGGGUAGCCGGCCUGAGAGGGUGGACGGCCACAUUGGGACUGAGACACGGCCCAGACUCCUACGGGAGGCAGCAGUGGGGAAUAUUGCACAAUGGGCGGAAGCCUGAUGCAGCGACGCCGCGUGGGGGAUGACGGCCUUCGGGUUGUAAACUCCUUUCACCAUCGACGAAGGGUUUCUGACGGUAGAUGGAGAAGAAGCACCGGCUAACUACGUG
This 464-nucleotide ribosomal RNA is filed under the name uncultured bacterium. RNAcentral's name for it is "partial 16S ribosomal RNA". It matches the Rfam family "Bacterial small subunit ribosomal RNA", at positions 30 to 507 of the family's 1533-position model. The record is from RNAcentral.